AAAGGUGUCAGCAUCGAGUAGGAUGCAGAUGUCCAUCACCCACAUGUGGCGAAAAGAAGAGAGAGCGCCAGACCGCAUCUAUGCCCCAUCUCCAGAUCUCUUUGCACGCAUCUAGCUACACUGAAGCCUGGUGCGUGCCAAAGGUUUCCUUUAGUCAGGAGAAACAAAGAAUAUGGAAGAAAAAUAGAUCUGUCGUUUUAGAAUUCAUAAUGGAAAGGGGACCUGGAACGGAUUGUGGGUAAAGGGAUAUGGUUGAUUGGAAAGCGGGAAUAGGUAAUUUUUGGUAAUUUUGGAGUAGAUCUGCAGCAGGUAAUCAAUAGUGUGGGCGGGUCUAGUUGUUGAUAACAGACGUGGGGGGGGGGGAGAGAGAGAGAGAGACAGAGAGAGAGAGAGAGAGACAGAGAGACAGAGAGAGAGAGAGAGAGAGAGAGAGAGAGAGAGAGAGAGAGAGAGAGAGAGAGAGAGAGAGAGAGAGAGAGAGAGAGAGAGAACAGCUGCUCUCUAGAUAUGAAAGCCUAAGAAAUAGGAAAAUAUUCUGAGCAGGAGGCAGCCCCUGGGGGAGAAAGAGAAAGGGAGGAGGGCACGUAAGUGGCCGCGCACUCCACACUCUCUCUCGCUCCGACCAACAGGAGGAGAGGCUGCGCAGGGGGUGUGUGUAUGAGGCGGAGGGAGGGCGAUAGUAGGGGCGGGGAGAAGUCGGGCGCCGGGGCUCCUCCGGCUUCCCUCGGCUGCCUCUCUGUCUCCUUUUCCCGGAGGGAGCGAGGCGUGUUUCCUACUAGCGAGGAGAAACGCACCCUGGAAGGAAAAAAAAAAAGCAAUCACACCCCCCAAAACCAGGUUGGGAGACUUGGA
Molecule: long non-coding RNA, 852 nt
Filed under: Monodelphis domestica (gray short-tailed opossum)
Lineage: Eukaryota; Metazoa; Chordata; Mammalia; Didelphimorphia; Didelphidae
Description: lncRNA (ENSMODG00000039101.1)
Source: RNAcentral